This 259-nucleotide ribosomal RNA is filed under the name Morganella morganii. RNAcentral describes it as "partial 23S ribosomal RNA". It matches the Rfam family "Bacterial large subunit ribosomal RNA", at positions 322 to 583 of the family's 2925-position model. The record is from RNAcentral. Lineage: Bacteria; Pseudomonadati; Pseudomonadota; Gammaproteobacteria; Enterobacterales; Morganellaceae.
AUCAGCAUCAGGAGAACAGUCUGGAAAGGCUGGCCGCAGCAGGUGAUAGCCCUGUAUCCGAAGGUGUUGGUAGUGUGAGUUCGAUGAGUAAGGCGGGACACGUGUUAUCCUGUCUGAAUAUGGGGGGACCAUCCUCCAAGGCUAAAUACUCCUGACUGACCGAUAGUGAACCAGUACCGUGAGGGAAAGGCGAAAAGAACCCCGGCGAGGGGAGUGAAAAAGAACCUGAAACCGUGUACGUACAAGCAGUGGGAGCACC